Molecule: ribosomal RNA, 443 nt
Filed under: uncultured bacterium
Lineage: Bacteria
Description: partial 16S ribosomal RNA
Rfam family: Bacterial small subunit ribosomal RNA
Source: RNAcentral
CCUACGGGAGGCAGCAGUGGGGAAUAUUGGGCAAUGGACGCAACUCUGACCCAGCAACGCCGCGUGAAUGAAGAAGGUCUUCGGAUUGUAAAGUUCUUUUAUCAGGGACGAAGAAGAUGACGGUACCUGAGUAAUAAGCCACCGCAAACUAAGUGCCAGCAGCCGCUGUAAUACAUAGGUGGCAAGCGUUGACCGGAUUGAGUGGGCGUAAAGGGAGCGUAGGCUGGCGGUUAAGUUGGAAGUGAAAUCCCGGGGCUCAACCCUGGAAGUGCAUUCGAGACUGGGGGACUUGAGUGUAAGAGGGGUAAGCGGAAUUCCUAGUGUAGCGGUGGAAUGCGUAGAUAUUAGGAGGAACACCAGUGGCGAAGGCGGCUUACUGGAUUAUAACUGACGCUGAGGCUCGAAAGCGUGGGUAGCAAACAGGAUUAGAUACCCCAGUAGUC